CAAGUGUAUUGCAAAUUGAACGUCCUUGAUAAGUGCUUCUCUGGCAAAAAGUUCGCGCAUGAGGUGGCUCUUUCAGUUCUGUAAAUGAAAGUUUUCAGAAAGCUCUUAUAAAAGUGUAAAAAGAAGAUCAAGGGGAGACAAGUGAGGAGACUCGUGUGAACCGGAUCUUAUAGUGGUGGCAGCUGUCGAGGGAACACGUCGACAACUUCUCUCCUCUCACACAGUAAGCUUGCAUAAAAAGAAGCUCACUGGAGGUUAGAAUUAUUCUCCAGCCAAAAACUGUUCCAAAAAAAGAAUAAUAUAUAAGCUCAGUACUACUGUUUAAUUGCACAUCUCCUGUUAUUUAUGCAAGCAAUCUCCGUGCCGUUUCAAGAACACUUCCAGAUUUUUGGGAUCGUAGAAUAAUUGCCAAGCAAUACAGGAAACAUAAGCAACGUGACUGGAAUUUCAUUAAACCUGCACCGUACCAUAUGAUCAGCACGUGCUCGCCAAAUUUCUCCAGUUUAUAUGACUGGCAGAAUCCUGACAUGUGUUCACUAGGAUUGCAGAAAGAGAAGUAUAAAAAGCUUAGGAAUAAUGUAAAGUAGACAAUUUUCAUCUGUAUAUUUCACCGUGAAAUAAUCUUUAUGAAUAAGAAUAUCAGAAGAGAAGGAUAUUUUUUAUCCAGAGGAUGCUUCGAAUUUUCAUCAGAAAGGAAGAAAGCAAGUGGUCUUGUUGAAUAGGAAGGAAACAGGAUUCAAAGGAGGCACGAGACCAGAGUCAGAUGGUCUUUAUGGUUCUUGAAUGGCGACAAGUGCUUCUCACAAUGUAGAUCCUCUUGACUUGCUAAUAAAAGUACUUAACCGCGCCACUCUUCCCGUUUUACCUUUCAUGCUGUGCUUCUAUAGAUUAUACGUCAUUAUUGGCAACAAGUUAUUCUGAAACUGUUAUAAUACUGAUAUCAAUAUUUAUCUUUUUUGUUUGACGAUCUUUCAAAACAACAUAAAAUUAUUUGUACUCUGUCAGUGAAUAAAUUCAAACUGAUUGAUAUAAUCUACAAAAUGUUCAUAAUUAUAUCUGUAAAUGUUCAUAACUAUAUCCAAUUAUAUAAACUGUUUCCUUGCGAAAAAGAUAAAGAACAUUUCAGUUUGUGCCAAAGUGUCAGCCAAGCCAAGUGAAGCACGUGGCAAGAUAUAUAGAUAACGGUAUGCGCGAACAUCAGAAAACCAGUAGCUAAUAAUCUGCCUAUUGUUUUAAAAGCAAAUAUUUUUCUAGGUUCCUAAUCCGCAAUACGGAUUACAAGUCUUUUACUGUGACUUGCUUUAAUAUUUACAGUCUACCAAGUCUUUUCAAUAUACCUGCUGCUUCGUCUACGAUUAUCAUCAAACAACAUCAACGGCGUCAGUUUUACAAAUUGUUUUAAAUUCGCAAUUCUACAAGCGAUCUAGAGAAAUUAACAAGAUUAACAGACAAGUUAAAUAAUUGAAACAAUGUAAUGGACCGGUAUAGUUAAUAUGUACCAAGUUUAACAAAUCUCUUCAGUAUCAAAUUUGACUAGUUCGAUCUAGAAUGAACCGUGUUAUUUCUAAUACUAAUUCUAUUGUUAA
RNAcentral lists this unclassified non-coding RNA (1586 nucleotides) under Bombus terrestris (buff-tailed bumblebee). RNAcentral describes it as "misc RNA ENSBTSG00005020040.1". Lineage: Eukaryota; Metazoa; Arthropoda; Insecta; Hymenoptera; Apidae. The record is from RNAcentral.